GAUGAACGCUGGCGGCGUGCUUAACACAUGCAAGUCGAACGAAACAUUUGCGACAGAUUUUUUCGGAAUGAAGUUGCUUAUGACUGAGUGGCGGACGGGUGAGUAACGCGUGGGUAACCUGCCUUGUACUGGGGGAUAGCAGCUGGAAACGGCUGGUAAUACCGCAUAAGCGCACAAUGUUGCAUGACAUGGUGUGAAAAACUCCGGUGGUAUAAGAUGGACCCGCGUCUGAUUAGCUAGUUGGUGAGAUAACAGCCCACCAAGGCGACGAUCAGUAGCCGACCUGAGAGGGUGACCGGCCACAUUGGGACUGAGACACGGCCCAGACUCCUACGGGAGGCAGCAGUGGGGAAUAUUGCACAAUGGAGGAAACUCUGAUGCAGCGACGCCGCGUGAGUGAAGAAGUAAUUCGUUAUGUAAAGCUCUAUCAGCAGGGAAGAUAGUGACGGUACCUGACUAAGAAGCUCCGGCUAAAUACGUG
Molecule: ribosomal RNA, 481 nt
Filed under: uncultured bacterium
Lineage: Bacteria
Description: partial 16S ribosomal RNA
Rfam family: Bacterial small subunit ribosomal RNA
Source: RNAcentral